This 323-nucleotide ribosomal RNA is filed under the name uncultured eukaryote. RNAcentral describes it as "partial 18S ribosomal RNA". It matches the Rfam family "Eukaryotic small subunit ribosomal RNA", at positions 1470 to 1796 of the family's 1831-position model. The record is from RNAcentral.
CCCUUAGAUGUUCUGGGCUGCACGCGUGCUACACUGAUAUUGCCAAUAUGUCAUUCUUAUCCGAAAUGGAUUGGGUAAUCAAGUAAUGAAAUUUCAUGCUUGGAAUCGGUAAUUGCAAUUUUAUCGUGAACGAGGAAUUCCUAGUAAGCACUAGUCAUCAGCUAAUGUUGAUUAUGUCCCUGCCCUUUGUACACACCGCCCGUCGCUGCUACUGAUUGGGUGUUCAAGUGAGAUGCUUAGACCCUUGUUGCAUGGUUCAUUAUUGUGCUCCGAAAGGAAAAAGUUUCAAGCUUGAGUGUCUAGAGGAAGUAAAAGUCGUAACA